This 497-nucleotide ribosomal RNA is filed under the name uncultured bacterium. Its description in RNAcentral is "partial 16S ribosomal RNA". It matches the Rfam family "Bacterial small subunit ribosomal RNA", at positions 28 to 507 of the family's 1533-position model. The record is from RNAcentral.
GAUGAACGCUGGCGGCGUGCCUAAUACAUGCAAGUCGAGCGGACGGACGAGAAGCUUGCUUCUCUGAUGUUAGCGGCGGACGGGUGAGUCAUACGUGGAUAACCUACCUAUUUGAGUUGGAUACAUUCGAGUAACCGGAGCUCAUACCGGAUGAUCUUUUUAACCGCAUGGUUUAAAAGUGAAAGGCCGUCUUGCUGUCACCUCUAGAUGUAUCCGCGCUGUAUUAGCUAGUUGGUAAGGUAACGGCUUACCAAGGAGACGAUGUAUGGCCGACGUGAGAGGGUGAUGGCCCACACUGGAACUGAGACGCGGUCCAGACUCCUACGGGAGGCAGAAGUAGGGAAGCGACCGCGAUGGGCGGAAGCCUGACGGAGCAACGGCGCGUGAGUGAUGAAGGGCUGCGGGUCGUAUAACUCUGUUAUUAGGGAAGAACAUAUGUGUAAGUAACGGAGCACAGCGUGACGGUACUUAGUCAGAAAGCAACGGCUAACUACGUG